ACGCUGGCGGCAUGCCUAACACAUGCAAGUCGAACGAGAAAGUUCCUUCGGGAGCGAUUAAAGUGGCGCACGGGUGAGUAACGCGUAGACAAUCUGCCCUUCAGUCUGGGACAACUUUUCGAAAGGAGAGCUAAUACCGGAUGACAAUGUAACACAUAAGUGUCACAUUUGAAAGCUCCGGCGCUGAAGGAGGGGUCUGCGUCCCAUUAGCUAGUUGGUAAGGUAAAGGCUUACCAAGGCGACGAUGGGUAGCGGGUUUGAGAGGACGAUCCGCCACACUGGAACUGAGACACGGUCCAGACUCCUACGGGAGGCAGCAGUGGGGAAUAUUGCACAAUGGAGGCAACUCUGAUGCAGCAAUGUCGCGUGAGUGAAGAAGGCCCUUGGGUCGUAAAGCUCUUUUAUGGGGGAAGAUGAUGACGGUACCCCAAGAAUAAGCACCGGCUAACUACGUGCCAGCAGCCGCGGUAAUACGUAGGGUGCGAGCGUUGUUCGGAAUUACUGGGCGUAAAGGGCGCGCAGGCGGAAUAGUAAGUCGGAGGUGAAAGCCCGGGGCUCAACCCCGGAGGGUCUUUCGAAACUGCUAAUCUAGAGAGGGUCAGGGGCCAGCAGAAUUCUUGGUGUAGAGGUGAAAUUCGUAGAUAUCAAGAGGAAUACCGGUGGCGAAAGCGGCUGGCUGGGGCCACUCUGACGCUGAGGCGCGAAAGCGUGGGGAGCAAACAGGAUUAGAUACCCUGGUAGUCCACGCCGUAAACGAUGAGCACUGGAUGUCCGGAGGGUUCGACCCUUCUGGGUGUCUCAGCUAACGCAUUAAGUGCUCCGCCUGGGGAGUACG
RNAcentral lists this ribosomal RNA (835 nucleotides) under uncultured Pseudomonadota bacterium. RNAcentral's name for it is "bacterial SSU rRNA". It matches the Rfam family "Bacterial small subunit ribosomal RNA", at positions 33 to 884 of the family's 1533-position model. The record is from RNAcentral. Lineage: Bacteria; Pseudomonadati; Pseudomonadota.